CCGUCUCUCGCCUCGCUCGAUCUGCCGUUUCUAUCGACUUAUCUUGAGCUGGAUGCACAUCCUGACGCGCGAGUCGUAUCGUGGUUGCAUGAGACAAGAGCGACCUCGACGACUUUUGAGUACGAUUGCACCUCAUCCGCCAGGGUUCCAUCGUAAUUAAUCAGUCGGGACAUGC
Molecule: small nucleolar RNA, 175 nt
Filed under: Endocarpon pusillum Z07020
Lineage: Eukaryota; Fungi; Ascomycota; Eurotiomycetes; Verrucariales; Verrucariaceae
Source: RNAcentral